Molecule: ribosomal RNA, 2771 nt
Filed under: Vibrio cholerae
Lineage: Bacteria; Pseudomonadati; Pseudomonadota; Gammaproteobacteria; Vibrionales; Vibrionaceae
Description: bacterial LSU rRNA
Rfam family: Bacterial large subunit ribosomal RNA
Source: RNAcentral
UAAGUGACUAAGCGUACACGGUGGAUGCCUGGGCAGUCAGAGGCGAUGAAGGACGUACUAACUUGCGAUAAGCGCAGAUAAGGCAGUAAGAGCCGUUUGAGUCUGCGAUUUCCGAAUGGGGAAACCCAACUGCAUAAGCAGUUACUGUUAACUGAAUCCAUAGGUUAACAGAGCAAACCGGGGGAACUGAAACAUCUAAGUACCCCGAGGAGAAGAAAUCAACCGAGAUUCCGGUAGUAGCGGCGAGCGAACCUGGAUUAGCCCUUAAGCACUCGUUGAAGUAGGUGAACAAGCUGGAAAGCUUGGCGAUACAGGGUGAUAGCCCCGUAACCGACGCUUCAUCGAGCGUGAAAUCGAGUAGGGCGGGACACGUGAUAUCCUGUCUGAAUAUGGGGGGACCAUCCUCCAAGGCUAAAUACUCCUGACUGACCGAUAGUGAACCAGUACCGUGAGGGAAAGGCGAAAAGAACCCCUGUGAGGGGAGUGAAAUAGAACCUGAAACCGUGUACGUACAAGCAGUAGGAGCACCUUCGUGGUGUGACUGCGUACCUUUUGUAUAAUGGGUCAGCGACUUAUAUUCAGUGGCAAGGUUAACCGUAUAGGGGAGCCGUAGCGAAAGCGAGUCUUAACUGGGCGUUCAGUCUCUGGAUAUAGACCCGAAACCGGGUGAUCUAGCCAUGGGCAGGUUGAAGGUUGAGUAACAUCAACUGGAGGACCGAACCGACUAAUGUUGAAAAAUUAGCGGAUGACUUGUGGCUAGGGGUGAAAGGCCAAUCAAACUCGGAGAUAGCUGGUUCUCCCCGAAAGCUAUUUAGGUAGCGCCUCGGACGAAUACUACUGGGGGUAGAGCACUGUUAAGGCUAGGGGGUCAUCCCGACUUACCAACCCUUUGCAAACUCCGAAUACCAGUAAGUACUAUCCGGGAGACACACGGCGGGUGCUAACGUCCGUCGUGGAGAGGGAAACAACCCAGACCGCCAGCUAAGGUCCCAAAGUAUUGCUAAGUGGGAAACGAUGUGGGAAGGCUCAGACAGCUAGGAUGUUGGCUUAGAAGCAGCCAUCAUUUAAAGAAAGCGUAAUAGCUCACUAGUCGAGUCGGCCUGCGCGGAAGAUGUAACGGGGCUAAGCAAUACACCGAAGCUGCGGCAAUAUCUUUUAGAUAUUGGGUAGGGGAGCGUUCUGUAAGCCGUUGAAGGUGGAUCGUAAGGUUUGCUGGAGGUAUCAGAAGUGCGAAUGCUGACAUGAGUAACGACAAGGGGGGUGAAAAACCUCCCCGCCGGAAGACCAAGGGUUCCUGUCCAACGUUAAUCGGGGCAGGGUGAGUCGACCCCUAAGGCGAGGCUGAAAAGCGUAGUCGAUGGGAAACGGGUUAAUAUUCCCGUACUUCUUACAAUUGCGAUGGGGGGACGGAGAAGGCUAGGUGGGCCAGGCGACGGUUGUCCUGGUUCAAGUGCGUAGGCUUAAGAGUUAGGUAAAUCCGGCUCUUUCUAAGGCUGAGACACGACGUCGAGCUACUACGGUAGUGAAGUCAUUGAUGCCAUGCUUCCAGGAAAAGCCUCUAAGCUUCAGAUUGUAAGGAAUCGUACCCCAAACCGACACAGGUGGUCGGGUAGAGAAUACCAAGGCGCUUGAGAGAACUCGGGUGAAGGAACUAGGCAAAAUGGUACCGUAACUUCGGGAGAAGGUACGCUCUUGAUGGUGAAGUCCCUCGCGGAUGGAGCUGACGAGAGUCGCAGAUACCAGGUGGCUGCAACUGUUUAUUAAAAACACAGCACUGUGCAAAAUCGCAAGAUGACGUAUACGGUGUGACGCCUGCCCGGUGCCGGAAGGUUAAUUGAUGGGGUUAGCGCAAGCGAAGCUCUUGAUCGAAGCCCCGGUAAACGGCGGCCGUAACUAUAACGGUCCUAAGGUAGCGAAAUUCCUUGUCGGGUAAGUUCCGACCUGCACGAAUGGCGUAAUGAUGGCCACGCUGUCUCCACCCGAGACUCAGUGAAAUUGAAAUCGCUGUGAAGAUGCAGUGUACCCGCGGCUAGACGGAAAGACCCCGUGAACCUUUACUACAGCUUGGCACUGAACAUUGAACCUACAUGUGUAGGAUAGGUGGGAGGCUAUGAAGACGUGACGCUAGUUGCGUUGGAGCCGUCCUUGAAAUACCACCCUUGUAUGUUUGAUGUUCUAACUUAGACCCGUUAUCCGGGUUGAGGACAGUGCCUGGUGGGUAGUUUGACUGGGGCGGUCUCCUCCCAAAGAGUAACGGAGGAGCACGAAGGUGGGCUAAUCACGGUUGGACAUCGUGAGGUUAGUGCAAUGGCAUAAGCCCGCUUAACUGCGAGAAUGACGGUUCGAGCAGGUGCGAAAGCAGGUCAUAGUGAUCCGGUGGUUCUGUAUGGAAGGGCCAUCGCUCAACGGAUAAAAGGUACUCCGGGGAUAACAGGCUGAUACCGCCCAAGAGUUCAUAUCGACGGCGGUGUUUGGCACCUCGAUGUCGGCUCAUCACAUCCUGGGGCUGAAGUCGGUCCCAAGGGUAUGGCUGUUCGCCAUUUAAAGUGGUACGCGAGCUGGGUUUAGAACGUCGUGAGACAGUUCGGUCCCUAUCUGCCGUGGGCGUUGGAAGAUUGAAGGGGGCUGCUCCUAGUACGAGAGGACCGGAGUGGACGAACCUCUGGUGUUCGGGUUGUGUCGCCAGACGCAUUGCCCGGUAGCUAAGUUCGGAAUCGAUAACCGCUGAAAGCAUCUAAGCGGGAAGCGAGCCCUGAGAUGAGUCUUCCCUG